RNAcentral lists this long non-coding RNA (250 nucleotides) under Carica papaya (papaya). Its description in RNAcentral is "long non-coding RNA (CPAP_LNC003934)". The record is from RNAcentral. Lineage: Eukaryota; Viridiplantae; Streptophyta; Magnoliopsida; Brassicales; Caricaceae.
AAUUUCACAUAAAAUGCAUUUAAACAUUCUGAAAGCCAUUGUACCACUAAUUAUAAGAAAAAAUCGUUCUUUAAAGGCAUGGGUCCGUUUAAACUUACGCUAAAUCUUUCUAUGGUCUGAGUCAUUGCUAUGAAACAAGUGACUUUUAAAUUUUCAUUAUACUUAAAAAUUUAACUGUGACUUUUUUAUUUUAGUUGGAUUAAACCACAAAUUAGAAUUAAAUGAUCAUCAAUAUAGCUAAAAACCUUAU